GGCACGCAGGCGGUGACUUAAGUGAGAUGUGAAAGCCCCGGGCUUAACCUGGGAAUUGCAUUUCAUACUGGGUCGCUAGAGUACUUUAGGGAGGGGUAGAAUUCCACGUGUAGCGGUGAAAUGCGUAGAGAUGUGGAGGAAUACCGAAGGCGAAGGCAGCCCCUUGGGAAUGUACUGACGCUCAUGUGCGAAAGCGUGGGGAGCAAACAGGAUUAGAUACCCUGGUAGUCCACGCUGUAAACGAUGUCGAUUUGGGGGUUGGGCUUUAAGCUUGGCGCCCGUAGCUAACGUGAUAAAUCGACCGCCUAGGGAGUACGGCCGCAAGGUUAAAACUCAAAUGAAUUGACGGGGGCCCGCACAAGCGGUGGAGCAUGUGGUUUAAUUCGAUGCAACGCGAAGAACCUUACCUACUCUUGACAUCCAGAGAACUUUCCAGAGACGGAUUGGUGCCUUCGGGAACUCUGAGACAGGUGCUGCAUGGCUGUCGUCAGCUCGUGUCGUGAG
This 504-nucleotide ribosomal RNA is filed under the name uncultured bacterium. Its description in RNAcentral is "bacterial SSU rRNA". It matches the Rfam family "Bacterial small subunit ribosomal RNA", at positions 566 to 1071 of the family's 1533-position model. The record is from RNAcentral.